RNAcentral lists this small nucleolar RNA (132 nucleotides) under Drosophila mojavensis. RNAcentral describes it as "snoRNA:GI25431". Lineage: Eukaryota; Metazoa; Arthropoda; Insecta; Diptera; Drosophilidae. The record is from RNAcentral.
GGAGUCAAAGUGGCAUAUUUUGAAAUAUAAAUUACGAUUUGUGUCUCAAAUGCUCCAAAAUCAAUUUAUAGACGAACGGCAUCCUGUUUAAUUAUUCAUAUUACAACAGAUGACUUGUGUUCGUGUACACUU